Molecule: long non-coding RNA, 726 nt
Filed under: Vitis vinifera (wine grape)
Lineage: Eukaryota; Viridiplantae; Streptophyta; Magnoliopsida; Vitales; Vitaceae
Description: long non-coding RNA (VVIN_LNC005648)
Source: RNAcentral
CUUCUGCUUUGAUUGGAUGAUGCGGUUGGAAGUUGGAAAUAUUGUUACUAGAGUCAGACUAGUCAUUUCUUUUAAGUAUCUAUUCAUCUCGUUGCCUUUUCUAUUGAGAAUGUUUAAUUUGUCGAUUUUCCAUGAUAUUAUGUUUGAAUCUGUUGUUGAUAUUGAGAUAUUGGCAAUUAAUGAAAGGUAGCAUAUGUUAAGGAUAAUAAUUUAUGCUCUGAAGAUGACCUCUCCCGGUUGCCCAUUCUUUAAUAGUGACAGAGGCCAUGCAUUCUCUUCUUCUAGUUGUCAAUUUCUUUCCAUAAAAUUUUAAUGAUAUUGGUCUUUCUAUCUUGUUGUUGGAAAAUAAAAAUACAAACAGGCGGACUGGGUAAGAAAUGGAGAGUUGACCUGGAAAUGGAGGACUAAUCAAAUAUGGUUCUUCUGCUAUGAUUGGAUGAUGCGGUUGGAAGUUGGAAGUUGGAAGAGAGUUGAUGGAGCUGGAAAUGGAGAACUGAUCAAAGCUAGUGUUUGGGUCCUUGCUUGCUUACCAGUCUUUUUCUUGAUUCUUGACUUGUUGCCUCAGUGCUGAAUUCUGGAGUGGUGUGCUUGUUUAUUAUUUGUCUUAUUUUCACAUAGACUCAUGUGUAAGGUUGUUUUGGUUGUUUGGAGUUUGGAGUGUGAACUUUGAUUUAGUUUACAAUAAAAGAUUGAUGGAUUCAUUUAUCAAUCAAAUAUAUGAAUGAU